GAUGAACGCUAGCGGGAGGCUUAACACAUGCAAGUCGAGGGGCAGCAUAGGGUAGCAAUACUCUGAUGGCGACCGGCAAACGGGUGAGUAACGCGUAUGCAACCUACCCUGUACAGGGGGAUAACCCCGGAGAAAUUCGGACUAAAUAUCCCGUAAUAAUAUCCGGAGGCAUCUUUGGAUAUUUAAAGUUCCGACGGUACGGGAUGGGCAUGCGUAACAUUAGCUGGUUGGUAAGGUAACGGCUUACCAAGGCUAUGAUGUUUAGGGGUCCUGAGAGGGUGGUCCCCCACACUGGUACUGAGACACGGACCAGACUCCUACGGGAGGCAGCAGUGAGGAAUAUUGGUCAAUGGGCGCAAGCCUGAACCAGCCAUCCCGCGUGCAGGAAGACGGCCCUAUGGGUUGUAAACUGCUUUUCCAGGGAGAGAAACUUACGCACGUGUUGCGUGACUGACGGUACCCUCGGGAAGUAAGCAAUCGGUCUAACUCCGUGCCAGCAGCCGCGGUAAUCACGACG
This 517-nucleotide ribosomal RNA is filed under the name uncultured bacterium. RNAcentral describes it as "bacterial SSU rRNA". It matches the Rfam family "Bacterial small subunit ribosomal RNA", at positions 28 to 530 of the family's 1533-position model. The record is from RNAcentral.